Long non-coding RNA from Diceros bicornis minor, 2430 nucleotides. RefSeq lists it as uncharacterized. Lineage: Eukaryota; Metazoa; Chordata; Mammalia; Perissodactyla; Rhinocerotidae. The record is from RefSeq and is a predicted model, not a curated record. The transcript is spliced from 4 exons.
CUCGGAAGUGAGGACUGGAAGCUGGGCGCGAGGGCAGGCGGCGGGCAGGCUGGGCCGGGGAGGAGCACGGGCGGCCCAGGGCGGGCCGGGGAGCCGCUUUCACCCUUGGUGGGGGAUGUUGAGGCCUAUUCGGCGGGACCAGGCGGGGCCCGACCGCGGCCGCCUUUUCUGCACAGCCUCCGGGAUGCCAUUAAUUAGCUUAGCAAAUAUUUAUGGACCUGCUGCUGUGGCCCAGGCGCAGGUGCUGCGGCCGCAAUCAGAAAAACCUCAGCCGCUGCGGCGCUCACGAUCCGGUGGGGGAGGCAGGCCAGAGAAAGAAGGAAAAUGCGUUGUGUUGAGAGGGGGACGUGAGGGUUGUGGGAGGUUUAAAUGGGGCAGCCAGGGGAGCCUCGCUGCGACGAAGACGUUUGAGUCUAGACAGGAAAGCAGUGCGAGAGAGAGCCUUGUUGCAAGUGUGAAGGCCCUGAGCCUCCAAACCUCUUCUCUGUGAUUUGAAAGUGUCCGCAGCGUCAUCUUUAGCCCCGCAGCCGGACAGCCGCGCCCCCUGGGACUGUCGCUACCCCUGCUGCUCGCGGGCCUGCCCUUCCUCAUUUUUCAGGUCCCAGCUGACUCACUGCGUCCUGUUUGAUCACUGCCUCCUUUUUCCCCUUCCUUCACAUUUCUUGGGUACCCUCUUGAGUGACUGUCUUUCUCCCUUCAAUGUCAAUGGCAAAGCUGUUGUCAGUUUUAAUCACUAGGGAAUACCAGCAUCUAGCGUAGUGCCCCCAUUCACCACAUACUAGAUACUUGAAAUUUUUUUAUUGAAGGAAUGAUAGAGACCGAUUGUCUGCUGAGUGCGUCCUGUACCUGCAUCAGCUCGUUGACUCUUUCCAAGUCCAAGGGGCACAGAGGCACGCAGACGGGGUCCAUUCAUCUUCACUGCCAGACAGUACCUGCCAUGGUCUGAAUGCCUGUGUCCCCCAAAUGCAUGUGUUGAAAUCCUAACCCCACAGGUGGGGACACAGCGAGAAGUCUACGACCCCAGAGAGAGCCUUCACCCGACCACGCUGGCCCUCGGAUCUCAGACUUCCAGCCUCCAGAACUCAGCCUGCACAGACUAAGACGGUAGCCCAGCACCUGGACAUGCCAUACGUUAUCUAUGCUCAGUUGAUGGGCACUUUGUAGUUUGCUUUGGUCAGUCGUGAGUGUCUCCAGGUGGACACGGAGCUUGUCGAGGAGAAUCGUGCAGGCGCCCACAGCAGCUGAGGGGGCCCCCGCCCUGAGCCUCCGCGGACAGCUCCCCGCGCCAGCAGCACCGGUUUACACGCCCCCGGCGGCAGGAAGUCCUUUCUCCACAACCUCACUGGACUUUUAAUUGUUGCCCAUCUGAUGACGGUGAAGUGGCAUUUUUGUUGGGAUCCCCGUGCUGGUUGUCCAAGCUGACUCAAGGCAGUGUGGUGCUUGCGUGACACUGACGGAAAAGAACAGGGUAGCUUCCCGUCUCCCCUUAGCCAGGUCCCUUGUUUCAUCUGAGGCUGGAGACUGAGGCGGCCAGAGCCUCUCGGUCAACACUCACAGAUGCUUCAAGAAUACAGAGAGCAAUCACUGAACCAGCUGUUUGGAAACACUCUGAUUUUCUAAUUAGCAUUUCUUAUUAUAUCCUGUCCAGUGAUAGCCUACCACUGGUGUGGCUACCAAAGACCUUACUUGUGUCAAUUUUUUUUUCCAUUUAACUUGAUUUCCAGUCUUUGGUAUUAUUAAAAAACAAAUAUAUUUUGAAAAGGCUCUGGUAAAAGUCUGGAAGAAUAUGUUAACUCGGGGCAAUGGGAUUAUGGGACCUAAUUUCUUUUACUAAUUUCUGUAUUACUUUGAUUUUAUGCAGUGGGCAUAUUGCUUUGGGGAAAAAGGAGAGUUAAAAAAAAAACUUAAUGAAAAAGGAUAUCAAGGAAAUACUUGUACAGGAAUGUUCAUAGCAGCACUAUUCACAGUAGCCCAAAGGAGGAAACGACCCACAUGUCCAUCAGUGGAUGAACGGAUAAACCACCUGUGGGUCAUCCACACAAUGCAAUAUUAUUCAGCCAUAAAAGGAAUGAAAUUCUGACACCUCCUACCACAUGGACGAACCUUGAAAACAUGAUGCUGAGGAAGAGAAGUCAGACACAAAAAGUUGCAUAUUGUAUGAUUCCAUUUAUAUGAAAUGUCCAGAAUCAGUGAAUCCAUAGAGACAGAAAGCCGAUUGGUGGUUGACAGGAGCUAGAUGGAAGGGGGAGCAGGAAGGGACUGCUUAAUGGGGACCGGGUUUUUUGGGGGGUGAUGAAAUGUUUUGGAAGUAGACAGAGGUGUGGUCACACAACAGGGUGAAUGUUCUAAAUACCACUGUAUUAGUCACCUUAUGGUUAAUGUGAUGUUAUGUGAAUUUGACCUCAAUAAAAAUCAACAACUUGCAGCCUC